UGAUUGGAAUUUGGAUAUAUGCUGAACUGUGGUUGUGAUAUAUAUUGAUGUGCAUUGUUAUUUUAUUUGUUAGGUAGGAUGGACGGGUCUAGUAGCCAAUCUAGUACACAUAUGGUCUCGGUAUUAGGAAAACAAAAACAAACCCAACCUAGUGGUACCCUUCAACUAGGCACUCCCUCACCUCAAGAUUAUUUGCAUAAUGAUUAUUAUGUAGAUUCUUG
Molecule: long non-coding RNA, 221 nt
Filed under: Malus domestica (apple)
Lineage: Eukaryota; Viridiplantae; Streptophyta; Magnoliopsida; Rosales; Rosaceae
Description: long non-coding RNA (MDOM_LNC013844)
Source: RNAcentral